ACGUAGGGUGCGAGCGUUAAUCGGAAUUACUGGGCGUAAAGCGUGCGCAGGCGGUUUUUUAAGAUAGGCGUGAAAUCCCCGGGCUUAACCUGGGAACUGCGCUUAUGACUGGAAGACUAGAGUACGGCAGAGGGGGGUGGAAUUCCACGUGUAGCAGUGAAAUGCGUAGAGAUGUGGAGGAACACCGAUGGCGAAGGCAGCCCCCUGGGUCGAUACUGACGCUCAUGCACGAAAGCGUGGGGAGCAAACA
This 250-nucleotide ribosomal RNA is filed under the name uncultured bacterium. RNAcentral's name for it is "partial 16S ribosomal RNA". It matches the Rfam family "Bacterial small subunit ribosomal RNA", at positions 525 to 774 of the family's 1533-position model. The record is from RNAcentral.